Triticum urartu is the source of this 7384-nucleotide non-coding RNA. NCBI's taxonomy places the organism in Eukaryota, Viridiplantae, Streptophyta, Magnoliopsida, Poales, Poaceae. The record is from RefSeq and is a predicted model, not a curated record.
UCCCCAUCUCCCUUUCUCCCUUCUGUCCCCAUCGCACCACCAGGCGCACCCACCCACAACCCACCAUGGAUCCCGCAUCCCUUCGUCGCUCCUCUCGUUGACCACCAUCGUCGCCUCCCCCAAGGCCACCGGCGCUGAUAUUCAAACCAUGGUCCUUUUUAGUGGAGAGGCGUUGAGGAGAUGGCAGUCUCCGUCGCCCUGUCGCGGAUCGUCACGGCCGCCAACGCCCAGCACCGCCUCCCUCGCCGCUGAUCAACGCCGCCACCAUGCCACGCACUGCCACCACCAUGCCACGCACUGCCGCCACCCCGCCGUCCUCUCCCUGUGUCAACUUCCGCCACCACCGCGCAGAAACCAAUCGCCAUCACGCCCCCUCCCCAUUUACGCCCAGCCUCCCUCGCCACACGCGGCCUCCUGUGUAGCCAGCAUCAUGCCCAGCGUCGCCUCCCUCGCCGGCGCGCCUGCAGCCUCCACCAUAUUAUGGAGUCACCGCCGCUGCCACCGCCUUUCCAGGUCGUGCUUCCUGAUUGCAACAGUAAAGGGGGAUUGAAGCGGCCGUGAGGUCAAGGAGAGGGGAGGUCCAGGCAUUGGAGAGGAGGAAGAAGGUGGUGAAGGUUGUUCUGUUGCUGCUGAUCCUCCCCAGGCCAGACACGGCCAUGUUCUGUUGAUACUGAUCCUGUAUCACAGUGCCCACAAUAUGUUUGAGUUCAGGAUUCAGAGGUAGAGGAAUAGCCUGCAAGUGUGCACCGUUUCUGAUGCUUGCACGGCGAGUGCUCUUCCUGGCCACCGCCUCGGGCACCACCAAUGGCAUCGGGAAGUAUUCAUCCGCCAAACCAGCUGUGCAGGCACCCUCCUCCGAAACACUCUCAGCGAGCCCCCUCACCCAAUCCAGGAUUCCCGGCCAUGUACUCCCUCUUCCUCUUCAACCCCCUCCCGUUGGGUCAGGCCUUCCUUCAAUUCGGUGGACAUUGAGUCGCCGCCUCGGCUCUAGACUCACUGGCGAGUGGACUGGCGAGGGAAGAUGACGGGAUGGAGAUUGAUCACUAUACGCAAAAGGUGGACCUACUUUGUUUUGUUAUUAGUAUUACCAACACUAAACUGCAUGCAUGGGAACUGGGAGUUUGAGACGGGCUUGCAGUAAGUUGUAAGCCGCGACCAUACAAUUUCAGUAUCUAUUCAUGUGUACGUCGGACCUAGACAAGGUUGGAGGGCAGGUAGAGGACCGGUGGUGCGUUAGGCAUGCAGCGUGUGUAACAACAGUCGACCACAGGUGGGCAGCACACUGUCACUAGGGAAGGAGAUGGUGGCAGUGUGUUUUGAUUAGCAGCAGGUGGCUCCAUGGUGGCCAGUGCAGCAGCGAGCUAGCGUGUUGCUGUGGGAAGAGGCAGAAAAAUUAAUCUGUUUGUGGUUGGACGAUGGAUUCCCGUUCCCUGGUAGGCAGCUAGCUCUUGAAAUAAUUUCAGCAAGAACAACAUCCUCAAUUUGGAGUGGUCUUAUUCGCUACUGCAUAUCUUGGACAUUUUCAAAUGUAGAUCAGAUUAACUAUAUAGUAGACACUGUGCUGUUGGUGUUUAACUGCUCGUGAGAUACGCGUCAAUAUUGCAAUCAACUCUGACUGCAAUUGUAUAGUCUCAAGGGCCUGCAUUCUAUAUUGAAGGUUCAACAUUGAAGCUGCUUGCAUUGAUCCGCAAUAGACCUUGACUUCAGCGGAAAAAUGAGGUUUCAUGGUGGCAGUGCCUUCUUCUACAUGAUGGGAAUUCAACGGCAUUUUUUUUGUUAAAUACUAGCUGGGUGUGUCGUCUAUUCACAGAUCGUGUAAUUUGACCAUCUCUUGCAGACAAAACACUCGGGGAAAGUUCCCAGCCGUGCACCUGUGACCGCUGGAGAGGCAUACUGUUUUAGGAAUGCAUGACAGACUGGUAGUGAGGAUAUUUGUAGAGGCUAUUUGCACCGUAGUUCAAGGCAGAUGAUAGAGUACAGGCGAGGCAACUCACUUAUAUUGGUACUCGUUUAAAUGGUUAUCUAUUCUGCCGGCAUAGUUACAUGCCAUAUUAAUUUCAGAAGAACAAUUUCUAAUUUAGUGUUGUGCUUGCAUGCAUUGUUAUGUCUAAAAAGAAAAUUCCAAACAAAAGCAAAUAUAAAGUCACAGUUUGUCUUUACACACUGGAUAAUGAAUGUUUCAAUCACGCUAAAUUGAACCAAGGCUUUUAGAAUAAAUUGUGACCUCUAAGCUUGUGUGUAGUCAAUUACUAAAUGUGUAAUAUUAGCACAUAUUAGCAUGACUAUUUCUUAAGUGCAGCCAGCCACCAAUUCCAUUUGAUUUGAAUUAAUAUAUUACUUAUAUACUCAUUUAGAUAUUUAUUUAUGUCCUCGAUGGAUUGAUUUGAACGCCACAAUUUUAUUACCCCGUUGCAACGCAGGGGCCCUUUUGCUAGUCUAUCCCUAAUUAUUAUAUAUAUAUAUAUAUAUAUAUUAUAUAUAUAUAUAUAUCCCUAAUAAUAAUAAAGCACGGAUUGACUCCGUGGGUUCACCGUCACAAUACGCUUUCUUUCUGUAAAUUUACGCUUUCAGUUUGAAUUUAAAACAUAUAUACGAGGUGGUACUAAUGUUGCCAUUGGUAUAGAUUUGACAAAUUAUGAUUUUUAUCCGUCACGGGCUUUGCCUCACAUGGGCCGAGAUUGUGAGCUGCGACUUCGCCCUUGCAUAUGGGCCGAGAUUGUAGAGGAGCGGAGCAAAAAUUAGUUGAUUUUCAUGGGAGUCGAACUCAAGACCUGCCAUUUAAUCUCAACGUGCACAACCAACUGGCUAAAGCCAGGCACGCGUUAGCUUAUGAAUUUCCUGGGAAAUAAGCAGAGCUGCCCCGAGAGUCUAAGAAAUAAAUGAUUUUCUGCAAUUAGAAAGACAAGAAAGAAAGGAAUAACGCCAAGAAAAAAAAGGCAAAUGAAGAAGUUGACUCCACGGGAAGGCAAUGAUUUAAUUAGUGCAGCUUGAUUGCUUUCCUACUUAAAAGCGGAGAUGCAGAUUAAAAAAAGCAAGAUGCAUGCUGGAUAAUUAUUGUCGCUGAUUGCUUUUCUAUUUAAAAAGCGGGCAUAUAUAUGCAUAUCAUGAAAUUAAUUAGUAGGAAAUCCAACAUUAAAUUAAAUUAUUUUAUAUUUUAACUUUCUGUUAUUAAUCUGAUUUUUAGAUAAAAUCAAGCUUUUUAAUUGUACAAUUUUGAACAAAAGUUUCUAAGUUUCAUAAUUUUCUUCCUUGGUUCCUAAUUUUAGCUAAUUUUUCCUUUUUUUCCCUUUUAGUAAAACUCUGGCAGACAUGACAAGAAUUACAUUAUGUUUAGACUAUCAAGAACAAUCAUUAGAGAGGAAAGUAACCUUUUUUGGUGGGGUGAGUAACCAUAUUUGUGACUUUUUUAAGAUAUAGAGUGCACUAGAUUUUUUUUCAAAUUUUUUUACCUUCUCUAUCAAUAUAGAUAUAGAAUUUGUCACAAUUUGGCAGAAGAAGGGGUGCUUUGUGUCGAUUUUAAGCAAUACCCGGGGUGUGUUGACAAUUGAGGAACAUUGUUGUGAACCAUAGAGUUUGACAUUUUGUUUGAAAUCUAGGAAGUGCUUUCGACUAAGAAAAUAUUUUUUAAGGUAUGCGCAUUGGAUCAAAGAUAAUCAGUUAUAUUUUUAAUUGCAUAUGAUGUGGAAGUAUAGGUUUAUUUUAUAACACAUUCAAGUGCAAGUGCAACCGAUAUAUAAGUUAUUUUGUGACAAUGUGCGUCCAUAGAUCUUUGUAAACAUUAAAUUGUUCAUGAGCCGUUAUAUUUUGUCCAUAAAAUUCUAAUUACAUUUGAAUACAUAUUGAUUUUGUCUUCCGGUGCAACGCACGGGUAUAUGUGCUAGUAAUAAUAAUAAAGCACGGAUUGACUCCGUGGGUUCACCGUCACAAUACGCUUUCUUUUCCUGACAUAAUACGCUUUUACGAUUUGUAUAGACAAAAUCGUAAUAUAAACGAGGUGGUACUAAUUUGAGCCCCCACUUUGUUUUUACAAAAAAAACCUCUAUUAAACCAAAACUACCAAACGAAUCCUCCGCCUCCUCCCCUGCUCUCGCCAUCGCCCGCAGAGCUCCACCCAAUCCCUCGCUCGCUCGGUGAGAUCCAAGGCGGCCGCGUCGGCUGGGAGCGGACCCACGCGGGAGGAGGAGUUCGGCGAGCAUGAGCUGGAGGUGGCAGCCAUUCUCGCGGACCUGUCGUCCAUCGUGCGGGCCAGCAGCAGGAGCAGGCGCGGCCGGAGAUCCCCUCGUGGAGCCGGCGCCGGCCGAGGAAGGCCCUAGCGGCUCCGCCGGCCAAGAAGCCCGCGGCCGAUAGCCCGGACACCCCGCUCGCCUUCCUCGACGACGACGAGGCGGCGGCAGCGCAGGACAAGUCGGCGCAGGAGCAGCGCGGCGAUUUUGACGAGUAGGAGAUGGAGCGCGUCACAAGCACCUUGGCUGCACCCUGAGGUUAUCCAUCAGGCAAACUGUCAUCUCACUGUCGUUCACGAUGCUGCUCCCAAGCCUCCCGACGAGAUUGUGCGAGUUGCAACUUACAUGACGCAGAUUCUUUUGCUAUACUUCGGAAGCCGGCAAUAGCAGCGGCAACGUCGACGCAUCCACGGGCUGGACAAAACUUGAUUAGCUUAUUACUGCAUCAAUAAUUUGUGCCUGUAGGACUCUUUCACAAAUCAUGUCAAUGAGACUAGCAAUUUGAAGAGGCUGCUGCACAUGAUAUGAAGAUAUUGGCAUAUACAGUCCCAAACAUAAGUUUCAAAAUAGCAGGUGUGGAGUUUAGCCCUGUUCCGCUGUAUGGAAAGCCAUGACCUCCACACAGAUGAUGCAAGAGGAAACAAGCUAGACUCACAACUUUGGUUUUCAGGCAUCUUCACCAACAAAUAUUACCCUGGUACUGACAGGUUGUUAGUAUUAUAUAAGUAUACUUGUUCAGCCUUUCCAUGUGCUGGUCUGAAUAUCUAAACAAGGAAGCAGGCUCAGUUGCUCACCAACCUACUAUUGCUGCCAACAAGUAGCCAGAAGCCCAUAGAAGACAUUUGCAUUGAUCACAGAAAAAUGAAGUAUUGAAUUUGUAGGACAUUGUCAUCCUAAUCUGGUUCCCACAUAUUCAAGAUGUGAAGAUUAGAUCUUUGCUCCAACAAAGCCAUGACCUUCAAUUUUGUUGUUAAUUUAACAGCUGUUUUGAUUGUGCCGAUCGAUCGGCUUAUAAGAGCCAAUUUGGUUUCUUGUGAACUAGAGCAUCCUAUUUUUCAUGAUUAUAUUAAGAGCUUCCUAUUUUUCAUGAUUAUAUUAAGAACUCACAGAUCUCCUUCACAGCCACACCUAACCUGCACAUCAUCUAGAUUCAAGAGAGCCCUACUACUGCAUCCAACCUAAAAUCAAUGUAAAAACAAGGGAAGUUCUAACCCGAUAUCUCCGUCUCCUGUGAACAAAUUUUAAGCCCGAUUGAUGGCAAGUGCAUUGCAUGUGUAAGUAAUCUGGGUUGAACGUACUUGAGGUCUUCCAUCACUUUUAUUACUUGAAUAGAAAUUGUGCACAUUGCACGAACUACCCAUUAAUGGGCAGCUGAUAUAUAUGAUGCUUGGUUCAUAAUAGCUACUUCAGGUUAUCCCUUCUGCUAUAUUUUUCAUACUCCCUACUUUUGUGAGAUCUGAAUUGGUAGAGAAAACAGACCGGGAUAUUCGGUUCCUACCUAGAGAUGCAGUGAGGACUUACUGUAUUGAUUAGUCAUUUGAAGAGUUAACUAGAAAGCAUUUAGUAUGUCUUCAGUUAUGUUGUCGUGGGGCUGUGCACACGAUUCACAGACAAAAAAACAGCACCGUGCAUUGUUUUUUUACAUGCAUGCAGCAUGUGCAACAAAUUUGCUACUAUGGACUAAAAACAAUCACCAACUAGCUAAAUCAACGGACACUCUAUGGGAAGGAGAACAAGCAUACUAAAUAACACGAAGCAGAGUAAUUCCAAGAUAUUUUGAGAAUUCAUUGCAGUGGACUGUGUUGUGUUUCGAUUUUUCUUAACCUUGAUAAUAUUGUCUUGGAUUUGAAAUGAUGGUAUACAUUUAUUCUUCUUCUUUUGUAUAGUUGUGAAGACCAAACUUAGAAAAUUGUACCGGUUGUGAUUUCAAUCGAGUUUGAGGCUUCUGUCAAAUAUAAUUAUGUUCCCUGCUGAUUAUAAUUUUGUUCAUGUAGAUGCAUGAAGUUUCUUGUUCGUUUUAUUUGGAAAUAAUCUCGAUUUAUUCUACUGUCUUGAUCGUAAAGCGACAUUUUUCUCCUGACACUGUUCACUGGUCACUGUGGUGAACCGAACAGCAAAUCAAGGACUUUAGAGCCCGGCCGCAGACCUCACGGAGCACCAACGAUAGCCUCAAGGUGAUUCAGCAGAGCAAGGUGAUGAGUACUCAGCUGGCUGGCCAAUAUCAAUGAUCUUAUCGGCCGGCAAAGCGGAGACGGACGGCCACGGUCCCGACCUUGCCAGCAGGCGGAGACAAUAAAUGGGAUCAAGGGAAGUUGGUCGGGCUCCAGCGGCACAUGCUUACCACUGCUGACUGUUGCCGGGAAAGGUAUGUUGGUUUGAUUCUUUCAAGAUCCCAAACUAAAACAAGUCACCUGUGACAUUUGAAUGAUGCAAAGGUUUGUUGUCUCUUCCCAAGAAAUUGUGUGCAGAGAAGCUACCUUGAUUUUACAUGCUGAACCUAUUUUUGCAUAAUCAAACACUGACGAUAAGAGAGAUGAAUGUGCAGUAUGCUAAAUUUGGGUAUCCAAUUGCAAAAGAAUUGGAUUAUUAUUUACAUUAGAAGCCAGGUUAUCACUAUGUAUUUUAAAUUGAUCGCUCAUGGACCGCUCAAUUGGCCAUAAACACAACAUAAUUCGAUCCCUCCCUUCAAAUUGGCAACUAAAGGGAAGGUGAGUUAAAAUGUCUCAGCCCCUGUGACCUGGCUGGUUAUGUUUAUAUUACAUCCAAUAUUAUGUGUACUCAUUUGAUCUAAGGUUAUUUUUAAUAACUUGUUUUUUUGUCACGAACAAAUCGAUGAACCGGCGGUCCAACCGGUGACAGACACAACGGUUCAGUUGCCCGUUCGGUUUUAAAAAAUAUAGUCCGAUGGUCAUGGUGGAAGAACAUGACAUGAAGUGCUUUGUAUCCCAAGAACGACGAGGAGACAUGAGCAGCCGGUGGCAGUGCUUCGCACUUCGAGCAGUAGGGAUACUUGAUCAUAGGGAAAGGGAAGGGAGAUGAGUUCGUGCUUGCAUGAUUUUUAGGGAAAGAGCGUGUGUAUUGUACUUCUGUGUGCAUGAAGUGUUUUGUUUGGGCCAAGCCCAAAUAAUGAAAAUAAAACACUAUCUCUAAAACUAUUCAAA